This 648-nucleotide long non-coding RNA is filed under the name Fukomys damarensis (Damara mole-rat). RNAcentral's name for it is "lncRNA (ENSFDAG00000025590.1)". Lineage: Eukaryota; Metazoa; Chordata; Mammalia; Rodentia; Bathyergidae. The record is from RNAcentral.
AUGGGUUUUGGUUUUCUUUUUUCAGGCAGCGUCUUUCUAUAUAGUUCAGGCUGGCCUUAAACUCACUAUGUAUCCCAGGGUGUUCUCAAACUCAUGGAAAUCCUCCUGCCACAGCCUCCUGAGUGCUGAGAUUACAAGCAUGUGCCACCAUGCCCAGCCUUCUUGGAUUCUACUUGAAGCAGAAACAAAUGAUAAGUGGACUCAGGCUCAGAAAAAUGAACAGAGGCCAGGACAAUGCAGACCCAAGCGGCAGGCAUCACCGCAGUUAUCUCACCACAAGGUGCUCACUGUCCCUGCGCUGCCCUCCUACCGCCGCCACAGCCCCUUUCGGGAACGAGUUCUGACCAUCAGUUCAUCUUUUCAUCAUUCGUGCACUAUUCAAACCCUGGAACGGGAGCAUUUGUUCAGUCUUGUGAAGGAGACAAGAAAGAGGGAUUUUCCCUGUUGGUUUCUGGGUUUCUGUAGGAGGAGGUGAACCACCACCUCUUACUGUGAAAGAAGUCAGAAGGUGGAAGGUUGAAUAACAGAUCGCCAAACAAACAAAACAAAACAAGACAAGGCUGGGAGGGAGCUCAGUGGUACAGUCCUUGCUUAGCAUGUGUGAGGCCCUUGAUUUCAAUCCCCAAACCCUGAUAAAGAGAAAAAUGA